Long non-coding RNA from Chiroxiphia lanceolata (lance-tailed manakin), 2057 nucleotides. RefSeq lists it as uncharacterized. The record is from RefSeq and is a predicted model, not a curated record. The transcript is spliced from 3 exons. NCBI's taxonomy places the organism in Eukaryota, Metazoa, Chordata, Aves, Passeriformes, Pipridae.
GCUCAGGGCGGCUCCUGCGCAGGGACAGCAGGAGCAAGGAGGUGCCUCCAGAGCUGUCACCUUCUUACCUUGUUCUUGGCUUCCUCUUCCAGCCGCCUCUUCUUGUCCAGGGUUUUGGUGGUGAUGCUGCUGGUCGUGUUCUGCUGCUCCUCCUCCGCUUUCACCGCCACGUACUUGGCCUUGUCGUGCUCCUCGCUGCGCUGCAUGUAUGUCUGCUUGGCCUUGCGCAGGUUCCCCUCGGCCUCUUGCUGCCAGGGUGAGCCAUGACCCGGGUGAGGACAGAACCCAGCCAGGGAGUCACCAGCUCCCGUGGGCUCCCCGGGGUCCCCCAGCACAGCAGAGGCACCCAAGCACCCGACACUGCCAGAGAGGGGCAGGGGUCCAGCAUCCUUAGAGGGGCACGUGUCACGGGGUGCUCCAGGCUGCGACUGGGAUGCAAACCCAGUCACUCACCAGUUUCCUCUGUGCCCGGUGCCACUGCUCCUUGAUCUCCUUCCUCCGCUUCUCGUGCUCGAGGCGUCUCACCAUCAGCGGCUGGAUUGGGAGGAACAGCCCCGUGAUGCCCUGAGCUGAGUGCUCUGCUCUGCCCUUGCCAAGGCUUUGCAAGGAGAAGUGCCCUGUGCUGGUCACUAUUGCUGCCAGCACGGCCAGGUCACAGGCACUGGUUUGUGCCAGGGAGGAAAAUCUGCAGCCUGGGAAGUGCCAGAUGCAGGUUCCCUCUGGACUGAGCUAAGGAAGAGCCACCUCUGCAAUGCCAGGACCACCAGCCCUGGGAGGACCCUUUGACCCCUCACCUGGAGGAAGGUUUGGUGCUGCAGGGUGUUGGCUGCCUGCAGAACUGAUGUCCCAUGCUCCAUGUCCUGCUCCAGGGCCAGCAGCUGUUUGCCAUUUUCUGGAGCCCUUUAGCAAACUCCAUCUCUGGAAGAAAAAGUUUGGAAGUGAAAAGGCACACAAGACACUGGGAUUUCCCUGGUGGAACCCAAUCUUCUUUUGAAAGAUAAAUCAGGAACUUGAAGAGUGAAGUUCCCACUUCCCUGGCAGGGUUGGUCUCCCCACAGACUCUUGUAUGAGAUCAGGUCCUUCAUGUACUUGGAGAUGGUUUUGGCGUACUGGAGUGCAGCAUCCACCCCCCCCUCGCAGCGCUGCAGCAUCACAUCCACUUCCUCGGCCGCGGGACGGGCUGCAGUGGGACACCCCGUGAGCUUCCAGUGCAAACCUCCCCACCUCCGAGCCGGCUCCGUGCUGUGCCAGUCCUGCCGACCCCGGUGCCACAGCUCUGCUGCCUUUUCCCAGCCGAGGAGCCAAGUGUGGCUCAGGAUCACAGCGAUGACAGGGAAGGCACCGGUUCCUGCUCAGCCAGGCACCCCCACCCCAAACCCUGCACCCACCCUCGUCCUGCUCACCCGCGUUGUAGCUCUCCACGCCCACAGGCACACCGUCUCCUCCAGGCCCAGGGAUCCCCCCGUAGAGGCUCUCCAUACUCUUUGAGGAUUUGGAAAGAAAAGGGGCUGGUCAGCCAAGCAGACGGAGGGAGGCUGGAACCUGGAGCUGCCGGAGCCUUUCAGCUGUUGCUGGAAGUUGGCCGUGCCCAGGCUGUGCCCAGGCUGUGCCUGGGAGCUCACGGGAAUGUCUCUGGAGAAACACCCUGCCCUGGGCUCCCAUCAGAGCUGAGGGGAGCAGCCAGAGCCCCACGGCUCACCUGGUUCUGGUCGCUGGGUGGGAUGGAGAGGAGGGUGCUGCUGUCCACCUCCCCCAUGAGGAACUCGGACACCCUGUGGGGAGAGGAGCACAGCACAGGGACAGUGGCAUGGGCUGUCACCCAGCAGUACCCACGGACCGGCUGUGGAGGCAGCUGCCCAAAAUCCCUUACGUGCUGCUGAAGGACACAGCAAUGGUCUCCACGGCCUUCUCGAACUCCCGCUUGUCCGCCUCAUUGUUGGAUUCAUAGUGGAACCCUGGAGAAGAGGAAAUGCGGGAGCCCUGUCACUGUGUACCUGUCCCUCUCCCAGCAGGAGAAGGAUCUGCUGGCUCACGGUGGUAUCAGGGGAGCUGUGGGG